AGAGACAGCAGUCGCCACGGGAAUACGGAGGGUGCAAGCGUUAAUCGGAAUUACUGGGCGUAAAGCGCACGCAGGCGGUCUGACAAGUCAGAUGUGAAAUCCCCGGGCUUAACCUGGGAACUGCAUUUGAAACUGUCAGGCUGGAGUCUUGUAGAGGGGGGUGGAAUUCCAGGUGUAGCGGUGAAAUGCGUAGAGAUCUGGAGGAAUACCGGUGGCGAAGGCGGCCCCCUGGACAAAGACUGACGCUCAGGUGCGAAAGCGUGGGGAGCAAACAGGAUUAGAUACCCCUGUAGUCCCUGUCUCUUAUAC
This 309-nucleotide ribosomal RNA is filed under the name uncultured bacterium. Its description in RNAcentral is "partial 16S ribosomal RNA". It matches the Rfam family "Bacterial small subunit ribosomal RNA", at positions 504 to 807 of the family's 1533-position model. The record is from RNAcentral.